Molecule: ribosomal RNA, 699 nt
Filed under: Allium ampeloprasum (leek)
Lineage: Eukaryota; Viridiplantae; Streptophyta; Magnoliopsida; Asparagales; Amaryllidaceae
Description: eukaryotic LSU rRNA
Rfam family: 5.8S ribosomal RNA (bases 274-429)
Source: RNAcentral
CUUCCGUAGGUGAACCUGCGGAAGGAUCAUUGUAGAGUUCCUUUUCGAACAGUUGUGAAAUUGUGCUCAUACUCGACGAGUACUACGUGUUUGUGCUAUUAGUGCAUGCGUAGUCUUGGNGGGUUCCCUUUUGCUGCCUUUGUGUUGCUUUAUUUAAAGUGAAAUGAAGAGCAGAAAUAAGACACCGGCACAGUUUGUGCCAAGGACAGUUACUGUUGGAGUGCAUUGCCAUCUUUUUGAUGUGCUUUGUGCUGUUCUAGCGAGCAUCUGAAUGACUCCUGGCAAUGGAUAUCUUGGCUCUCGUGUCGAUGAAGAACGUAGCGAAAUGCGACACUUGGUGUGAAUUGCAGAAUCCCGUGAACCAUCGAGUCUUUGAAUGCAAGUUGCGCACGAGGCCAUUAGGUCGAGUGCACGUCUGUUUGGGCGUCAUGUAUAGCGUCAUUCCAAUCUCCCACAUGCGAUGAGUGUGGUUUGGGUGAUGAUGGGUAUGGAGAAUGACCUUCCGUGCUUUAAUUGUAUGGUAGGUUUAAGUGAUUGUCGUUGCCAGGUAUAUGCGAGGCGAAUGGUGUAUCGAGUUAACACACGAUGUCUCUAAUCGCGUCCAUGAGACCUAGGCAUGACUUAGAACUAAUCGAAACCGAUUUCGACGUUUGCUUCAGUAGCAAGCUCGGACCAUGACCUCAGAUCAGAUCGGCNUCC